AACGGACUCGGAUUGAAACCUAGUGAUUUCCGAGUUAGUGGCGGACGGGUGAGUAACGCGUGGAUAACCUGCCGUAUGCAGGGGGAUAACAGUUGGAAACAGCUGCUAAUACCGCAUAAGCGCACAAUACCGCAUGGUACGGUGUGAAAAGAUUUAUCGGCAUACGAUGGAUCCGCGUCCGAUUAGCCAGUUGGCGGGGUAACGGCCCACCAAAGCGACGAUCGGUAGCCGGCCUGAGAGGGCGGACGGCCACAUUGGGACAGAGACACGGCCCAAACUCCUACGGGAGGCAGCAGUGGGGAAUAUUGCACAAUGGGGGAAACCCUGAUGCAGCGACGCCGCGUGAGUGAAGAAGUAUCUCGGUAUGUAAAGCUCUAUCAGCAGGGAAGAAAAUGACGGUACCUGACUAAGAAGCCCCGGCUAACUACGUGCCAGCAGCCGCGGUAAUACGUAGGGGGCAAGCGUUAUCCGGAUUUACUGGGUGUAAAGGGAGCGUAGACGGCGCUGCAAGUCCGGAGUGAAAGCCCAUGGCUUAACCAUGGUACUGCUCUGGAAACUGUGGAGCUUGAGUGCGGGAGGGGCAGGCGGAAUUCCUAGUGUAGCGGUGAAAUGCGU
RNAcentral lists this ribosomal RNA (615 nucleotides) under uncultured bacterium. RNAcentral describes it as "bacterial SSU rRNA". It matches the Rfam family "Bacterial small subunit ribosomal RNA", at positions 65 to 691 of the family's 1533-position model. The record is from RNAcentral.